GAGAAAUAAAGAAUGCUCAUUUCUCUCAUACUCAUAUUCGUUACCAUGACGAUACGAUUCAGCUAUUGUGGAAGUAGUCUAAAAUAGAUUGUUUGAAUGCGUUUUUAUUAUGUUUAUUUCUUUCGAAAACUUUUGAACUCUUACAAAAGCAUUAAUAAGAAUUGGAAGGUAUUGAAAACAAUAAAUGUAUAAAUUUUUUUAACAACUAAUAGGUACUAUUUGUAUUUUUACUCUAAGGUAUGUUCAAAUUUGUAGUUUUGAAUUUAGUUACGUGUCCCUGAAAAAUGCAAUUGUAAAAUAUUAAAUUCUUGAUAUAUUUUUUUAACUUUGGGGUUAUGUGCAAUGUGUUAUACAAUGUUUUUAUGAUUUUUAACGGCCUAAGUAUAUAACAAUUCAGAAAUUAUAAUUGAAAAUUCGAAGUCAAUAAUUAAUGUACUUUUUAUUAUAAUUUUUACCAAAAAUAUAUUAUAAAUAGAUAAGUGAUUCAAUUAUUUGAUUAUGUAAUUAGGAAUUUCCACUAUAUAAUUAUUAUAUGGUGGUGAUUCUCUCAUGACCUCAUGUUUCUCUCAAUAUUUAUAAUAAUUAAUAAAAUUGUCAAUGCAUAUUUAAUUAGUUUAUUACUUUUUCUAUAAAAAUCCUAGAAGAAACAAUUGAAUAUUUUAAUAAUUUAAUUUACUUUUUUUUUAAAUAUUCACGAAGUAGUAUAAGGAGACGUAACGCCCAUAGUAGAUUGUGGUGAAAGUGAGCCCCAAAAUCGUGUCCUAGAGUUUACGCAUUUUUCUAAUAAUGCGAUGAGGACGCCGCGCGUGGAGAAAUAGAGAAUUAAAAUUUAUCACGUGCUCGCAUGUGCUGACAAAAUGUCUUGAACCGGUGUUUCGCGCUUGCACUUUGUGCUUUGUUAAUGUUAUCAGUGAAAUGUCAUGUUUUAUAAAAGGAUGUGGAUCAAAAAUAACUACAAAAGAAGAAAAAAAUGGAGAAAAUCGAAGUUUUUUUCAGCUCGAACAGUAUUUAAUUUUUAUUAUUUAUUAUUGUUUUAUUAUUGUUAAUAUUAUAUCAUUAGAGUUUUAAUUAUUUCCGAAGUGUUUUUUAUUUUUUAAUGCUUUCCUAUUAUAGAAUGAAAGUUUGUUAACUUGGUCGAGUGCUAUUGUUGGCAUUGGAAAAAAACCAAAAUUGACAAAAAAGGAUAAGAUAUGUGAUUUGCACUUUGUGGAAUCAGAUAUUCUGAAAGAUUAUAUCACAAAGUUACCUGAUGGUAGUGUACACAAAACAAAACAAGGUAGAUAUGACCUUGUAAAAGGAGCAGUGCCGUCAAUAUUAAUAUUAUAUUAUUUACUUUCACUAAUAUUUAAUAUUUCACAAUAUUUAUUUUAUUAUUUAUUUAUUACACAAUAUUUUAUCAAAACCACUUCGUGAUCAAAACACUUUUGCUGUUAACUACAGUUGUUUACGCGAUAGCAGACGACAUAUUUUGAUUCCGAUUUAUCUCAGUAGAAGCGCUACAAGAGCAUUAUUCGAAAACCUUAGUAACUCUAGGACACGCAUUUGGGGUUGCUUUGAAUGCAUGGCGUUACGUCUCCUUAUACUACUUCGUGAAAAUAUUUUAACUCAAAAAGUUAUAGGUUAAUUGGCCUGUUCCAUAUACUUUUAAUUCCUUCAACACUUAAAAAAUAAUAUUUACAAUUUAAAAACCAGUAAUAAUAGUAUAUUAUGUGGCAAGCACGUAAAGUAGUACUUUUUAGGUGAUGAUGUAAUUUUCAGUACGAGCUGUCGUUAGUGCGACGUAGUCAACAACCACCGUCGGAUCAUUCGACGCCGUAUUAUACAUUGUCCUACGAAGCCAAUUACAUUUCGUUAGGCUAUAUCUUAUCCAGUGGAAAAGGUAGAAAAAAUUUAAUACUUUGAUUAAUUUACAAUAUAAGCAUAAUAUAUUUUUGGAAUAUUGAAGUUUUCAGUAAGAAAAAUUAGGAAAAUUGUUUUUUGAUCACAACAUUGAAAUUUUAUUCACAUACAUACAUAUUAAGUGACAAAUUUUAAAAUUUCACAAGUGAAGAGAUAAAAUACAUUCUCGUUAAGUUGCUGAUUAUUUAAAAAUAAAUUACUUUUUACCUACAACAAAAGAAAUGAAGCAAAACUCAUAC
Leptopilina boulardi is the source of this 2138-nucleotide RNA transcript. RefSeq lists it as uncharacterized. The record is from RefSeq and is a predicted model, not a curated record. Lineage: Eukaryota; Metazoa; Arthropoda; Insecta; Hymenoptera; Figitidae. The transcript is spliced from 2 exons.